GCCCGAGUAGUCACGUAAGGGGCGUGAAUAGUCUGUAAAACUAUUGCCGGAAGGUCCUUUGAGUUCGAAUCUCAACUUUGGCACCA
This 86-nucleotide transfer RNA is filed under the name Candidatus Izimoplasma sp. HR2. RNAcentral's name for it is "Candidatus Izimaplasma sp. HR2 tRNA-Tyr". The record is from RNAcentral. Lineage: Bacteria; Bacillati; Mycoplasmatota; Mollicutes; Candidatus Izemoplasmatales; Candidatus Izemoplasmataceae. RNAcentral also lists the same sequence under 1 other name.